Molecule: ribosomal RNA, 619 nt
Filed under: Nostoc sp. P11A
Lineage: Bacteria; Bacillati; Cyanobacteriota; Cyanophyceae; Nostocales; Nostocaceae
Description: bacterial SSU rRNA
Rfam family: Bacterial small subunit ribosomal RNA
Source: RNAcentral
AGUCUGGCUUCAGGUCGGGGACAACCACUGGAAACGGUGGCUAAUACCGGAUGUGCCCUUGGGUGAAAGAUUAAUUCGCCUGAAGAUGAGCUCGCGUCUGAUUAGCUAGUAGGUGGGGUAAGAGCCUACCUAGGCGACGAUCAGUAGCUGGUCUGAGAGGAUGAUCAGCCACACUGGGACUGAGACACGGCCCAGACUCCUACGGGAGGCAGCAGUGGGGAAUUUUCCGCAAUGGGCGAAAGCCUGACGGAGCAAUACCGCGUGAGGGAGGAAGGCUCUUGGGUCGUAAACCUCUUUUCUCAAGGAAGAACACAAUGACGGUACUUGAGGAAUCAGCAUCGGCUAACUCCGUGCCAGCAGCCGCGGUAAUACGGAGGAUGCAAGCGUUAUCCGGAAUGAUUGGGCGUAAAGCGUCCGCAGGUGGCGAUGUAAGUCUGCUGUUAAAGAGUGAGGCUCAACCUCAUAAGAGCAGUGGAAACUACAUAGCUAGAGUGCGUUCGGGGCAGAGGGAAUUCCUGGUGUAGCGGUGAAAUGCGUAGAGAUCAGGAAGAACACCGGUGGCGAAAGCGCUCUGCUAGGCCGCAACUGACACUGAGGGACGAAAGCUAGGGGAGCGAAU